UUAUUAUAUAAAGUAUGGUUUUCAAAGUUGCUAACUCAUACGAUCGUGCCACGUGUCAAGUCAAACGAUCAGAUGUUUACAUGUGUCAUUUAAAAUUUAACUUUUUUAUUUUCUAAAAAGAAUAGAAAAUCUU
RNAcentral lists this small RNA (133 nucleotides) under Arabidopsis thaliana (thale cress). RNAcentral describes it as "ATSL193800". The record is from RNAcentral. Lineage: Eukaryota; Viridiplantae; Streptophyta; Magnoliopsida; Brassicales; Brassicaceae.